This 1412-nucleotide long non-coding RNA is filed under the name Citrus x clementina. RNAcentral's name for it is "Citrus clementina (C. clementina) long non-coding RNA (CCLE_LNC002834)". The record is from RNAcentral. Lineage: Eukaryota; Viridiplantae; Streptophyta; Magnoliopsida; Sapindales; Rutaceae.
AAAAAAAUAAAAAGUAACGGUAGGGGUAUCAAUAUUUUAACGGUAUGGAUGUUUCGAGACAUUUUAAAAAUACAGAGACUAAAUAGACAUUAAUCUUAAAAUACAGUGAUUAAAUAGACAUUAAUCUUAAAAUAUAUUUGUAAUAUAUUUAAAAUAGAAAUAUCUUCAAUAGCAGUAACACAUACAAAAAUGUGCCAAACUGCCAAUUGUCAACGAGUGCUGCAAUUUCGCAUAAAAAUAUAAAAUAUGCCAAUCGUCAAAGAGCGCUGCAUUUUCUUUUACUUUUUUAAUGUAGCACCCAGAGCAAUAAGUAAUUCAAUAGCAUGCCCAGACAUGAAUCAUGACUAUUGAAGAGGUGAAGUUUGUGGGCAUGGGCAUGGGCAUGUAUGAUAAUUUUUUUUUUUUUUUAAAGGAGAGGAUAACCUUCGUUCAUUUAAAGAGUUUGAAUAAAUACAUAAUUUCUAAGGAAUAUGAGCCUACCAAUACAACAAUUUCACAUUUUUCCAAAGCUAAAGCUGGCUAAAAAAUGAGCCAUGACAUUACAAGAUCUUAGAGGGUUGAAUUUUAAUGGCAUUAAAACCCUUCAUUUUAUUUUUGCACGUAUAAAAUUAUUCAAUGGAUUUCAGUUCUGCUGCUCUUUUUGUUGUUGACAAAAUCAAGUACAUCUUGAGAAUCUUAUUCAAUGAUAAUAGAUGACAAUCCUGCACAAUUAGAUAUGUUCAGACCCCAAUUCACAGCUUCCGCUUCUGCAAAAAGCUUCAUCACUGUAAAGCUUUGCAGCUUUGAGUACUGCUGCUGUAAAAUUUUUGUUGGCACCCCUCAUAACUCUCAGCCCUGCACGAUGUUCCUCAGAGUUAAUGGCAGCACCCACAUUGACUCUCAACCAAUUUGUUGGAGGAGAGGGCUCCAACAUACUCGUGCCUUCUCUUCUUGACCAGACUUCAGAUUUGGGACUGGUCUUCGGGAUCCGUUAAAAUGACUCCACAAUUGCUUUCGCCAAUUUGUUGGGGGAAAGCCAUGAAUGAUUUACCUGAUUAAAAAAGAAAAAAAGAUCAACAUUACAAAUCAUAAAUUAAAUAGAUGAUGAGAUAGUAUAAUAAAUUUAUUAAAAUGUAAGAAAUUUAUCAUCCAUUCAAUGAAUGGCAUACUACACAUUUAUAACGUCUAGCAUCACUCUAUUAGAUAAAAAAAAAAAAUUAACUUAUAGAAUUAAUAAAGAAGGUUAGACUAAGGUGACGUUUGUUUUUUUUGUCUGAAAUUUAAAUAGAUCUGAAUUAGUCUGAAUUCUGAAUAGAUCUGAAUGACUGAAUCUGAAUAAUAUGUUUGUUUUUUUUCGUCUAAAUCUCAAAAAACAAAUAUUAAGUUGUUUAUUUUUUUUAACUUAAAAAACUGAAAAUAUGUACUUUUACAUU